This 72-nucleotide transfer RNA is filed under the name Pseudarthrobacter chlorophenolicus. RNAcentral's name for it is "tRNA_Val_GAC". It matches the Rfam family "tRNA". Rfam says of the family: Transfer RNA (tRNA) molecules are approximately 80 nucleotides in length. Their secondary structure includes four short double-helical elements and three loops (D, anti-codon, and T loops). The record is from RNAcentral. RNAcentral also lists the same sequence under 1 other name. Lineage: Bacteria; Bacillati; Actinomycetota; Actinomycetes; Micrococcales; Micrococcaceae.
GCCUGUAUAGCUCAUCGGUAGAGCGCCCGCCCGACACGCGGGAGGUACGGGGGUCAGCACCCUGUACAGGCA